RNAcentral lists this ribosomal RNA (496 nucleotides) under uncultured bacterium. RNAcentral's name for it is "partial 16S ribosomal RNA". It matches the Rfam family "Bacterial small subunit ribosomal RNA", at positions 28 to 506 of the family's 1533-position model. The record is from RNAcentral.
GAUGAACGCUGGCGGCGUGCCUAAUACAUGCAAGUCGAGCGAACAGACGAGGAGCUUGCUCCCCUGACGUUAGCGGCGGACGGGUGAGUAACACGUGGAUAACCUACCUAUAAGACUGGGAUAACUUCGGGAAACCGGAGCUAAUACCGGAUAAUAUAUUGAACCGCAUGGUUCAAUAGUGAAAGACGGUUUUGCUGUCACUUAUAGAUGGAUCCGCGCCGCAUUAGCUAGUUGGUAAGGUAACGGCUUACCAAGGCAACGAUGCGUAGCCGACCUGAGAGGGUGAUCGGCCACACUGGAACUGAGACACGGUCCAGACUCCUACGGGAGGCAGCAGUAGGGAAUCUUCCGCAAUGGGCGAAAGCCUGACGGAGCAACGCCGCGUGAGUGAUGAAGGGCUUCGGAUCGUAAAACUCUGUUAUUAGGGAAGAACAAAUGUGUAAGUAACGAUGCACGUCUUGACGGUACCGAAUCAGAAAGCCACGGCUAACUACGU